Molecule: ribosomal RNA, 352 nt
Filed under: uncultured Oscillospiraceae bacterium
Lineage: Bacteria; Bacillati; Bacillota; Clostridia; Eubacteriales; Oscillospiraceae
Description: bacterial SSU rRNA
Rfam family: Bacterial small subunit ribosomal RNA
Source: RNAcentral
AGUAGUUUGAUCCUGGCUCAGGACGAACGCUGGCGGCGUGCCUAACACAUGCAAGUCGAACGAAGCAUUUAGAGCUGAUCUCUUCGGAGUGACGCACUUUAUGACUUAGUGGCGGACGGGUGAGUAACACGUGAGCAACCUGCCUCUCAGAGUGGAAUAACAGUUGGAAACGGCUGCUAAUACCGCAUAACGUCAUAGUACCGCAUGAUACCUUGACCAAAGAUUUAUCGCUGAGAGAUGGGCUCGCGUCCGAUUAGGUAGAUGGUGGGGUAACGGCCUACCAUGCCGACGAUCGGUAGCCGGACUGAGAGGUUGAUCGGCCACAUUGGGACUGAGACACGGCCCAGACUCC